UACGGGGGGGGCAAGCGUUGUUCGGAAUUACUGGGCGUAAAGGGCUCGUAGGCGGCCAACUAAGUCAGACGUGAAAUCCCUCAGCUUAACUGGGGAACUGCGUCUGAUACUGGAUGGCUUGGAUCCGGGAGAGGGAUGCGGAAUUCCAGGUGUAGCGGUGAAAUGCGUAGAUAUCAAGCAGAACACCUGCGGCGAAGGCGGCCUUCUGGACGAUGACUGACGCUGAGACGCGAAAGCGUGGGGAGCAAACAGG
This 253-nucleotide ribosomal RNA is filed under the name uncultured bacterium. Its description in RNAcentral is "partial 16S ribosomal RNA". It matches the Rfam family "Bacterial small subunit ribosomal RNA", at positions 524 to 776 of the family's 1533-position model. The record is from RNAcentral.